RNAcentral lists this ribosomal RNA (1414 nucleotides) under uncultured bacterium. Its description in RNAcentral is "bacterial SSU rRNA". It matches the Rfam family "Bacterial small subunit ribosomal RNA". The record is from RNAcentral.
AACGAACGCUGGCGGCAGGCCUUAUACAUGCAAGUCGAGCGAGAAACUUCUUUCGGGAAGCGGACAGCGGCGGACGGGUGAGUAAUAUAUAGGAAUAUGCCCAACAGUGGGGGAUAACUAUUGGAAAUGAUAGCUAAUACCGCAUACGCCCUACGGGGGAAAGAUUUAUUGCUGUUGGAGUAGCCUAUAUUAGAUUAGGUAGUGGUGGGGUAAAAGCCUACCAAGCCGACGAUCUAUAGCUGAUCUGAGAGGAUGAUCAGCCACACUGGAACUGAGAUACGGUCCAGACUCCUACGGGAGGCAGCAGUAGGGAAUAUUGCACAAUGGGGGAAACCCUGAUGCAGCCAUGUCGCGUGAGUGAUGACGGCCUUCGGGUUGUAAAACUCUUUCAGUGGUGAAGAUGAUGACUGUAACCACAGAAGAAGCACCGGCUAACUUCGUGCCAGCAGCCGCGGUAAUAGAAGGGUGCUAGCGUUGUUCGGAAUUACUGGGCGUAAAGAGCGUGUAGGCGGACUAAUUAGUCAGAGGUGAAAUCCCAGAGCUUAACUCUGGAACUGCCUUUGAUACUGUUAGUCUUGAGAUUGUGAGGGGAUAGUGGAAUGUCUAGUGUAGAGGUGAUAUUCGCAGAUAUUAGAUGGAACACCAGUGGCGAAGGCGGCUAUCUGGCACAAUACUGACGCUAAGACGCGAAAGCGUGGGGAGCAAACAGGAUUAGAUACCUGGUAGUCCACGCUGUAAACGAUGCACACUAGUCGUCGGAUCUUGUUAUUCGGUGACGCAGCUAACGCAAUAAGUGUGCCGCCUGGGGAGUACGGUCGCAAGAUUAAAACUCAAAGGAAUUGACGGGGACCCGCACAAGCGGUGGAGCAUGUGGUUUAAUUCGACGCAACGCGAAGAACCUUACCUACCCUUGAAUCCUCAUCGCAGAGAGCAGAGAUGCUCUCUUUCAGUUCGGCUGGAUGAGUGACAGGUGCUGACGGCUGUCGUCAGCUCGUGUCGUGAGAUGUUGGGUUAAGUCCCGCAACGAGCGCAACCCCUAUCUUUAGUUGCCAGCAUUAAGUUGGGCACUCUAGAGAGACUGCCGGUGAUAAGCCGGAGGAAGGCGGGGACGACGUCAAGUCGUCAUGGCCCUUAUGGGUAGGGCUACACACGUGCUACAAUGGCAACUACAAUGAGCUGCUUAUCUGCAAGGAUUGGCCAAUCUCAAAAAGUUGUCUCAGUUCGGAUUGCUCUCGCAACUCGAGAGCAUGAAGUUGGAAUCGCUAGUAAUCGCAAAUCAGCACGUUGCGGUGAAUACGUUCUCGGGUCUUGUACACACCGCCCGUCACACCAUGGGAGUUGGUUUUACCUGAAGUUGGUGAGCUAACCGUUUUUUCGGAGGCAACUAACCACGGUAAGAUUAGCGACUGGGGUG